This 721-nucleotide ribosomal RNA is filed under the name Staphylococcus aureus. RNAcentral describes it as "partial 23S ribosomal RNA". It matches the Rfam family "Bacterial large subunit ribosomal RNA", at positions 1487 to 2205 of the family's 2925-position model. Lineage: Bacteria; Bacillati; Bacillota; Bacilli; Caryophanales; Staphylococcaceae. The record is from RNAcentral.
CGAAGCGUGCGAUUGGAUUGCACGUCUAAGCAGUAAGGCUGAGUAUUAGGCAAAUCCGGUACUCGUUAAGGCUGAGCUGUGAUGGGGAGAAGACAUUGUGUCUUCGAGUCGUUGAUUUCACACUGCCGAGAAAAGCCUCUAGAUAGAAAAUAGGUGCCCGUACCGCAAACCGACACAGGUAGUCAAGAUGAGAAUUCUAAGGUGAGCGAGCGAACUCUCGUUAAGGAACUCGGCAAAAUGACCCCGUAACUUCGGGAGAAGGGGUGCUCUUUAGGGUUAACGCCCAGAAGAGCCGCAGUGAAUAGGCCCAAGCGACUGUUUAUCAAAAACACAGGUCUCUGCUAAACCGUAAGGUGAUGUAUAGGGGCUGACGCCUGCCCGGUGCUGGAAGGUUAAGAGGAGUGGUUAGCUUCUGCGAAGCUACGAAUCGAAGCCCCAGUAAACGGCGGCCGUAACUAUAACGGUCCUAAGGUAGCGAAAUUCCUUGUCGGGUAAGUUCCGACCCGCACGAAAGGCGUAACGAUUUGGGCACUGUCUCAACGAGAGACUCGGUGAAAUCAUAGUACCUGUGAAGAUGCAGGUUACCCGCGACAGGACGGAAAGACCCCGUGGAGCUUUACUGUAGCCUGAUAUUGAAAUUCGGCACAGCUUGUACAGGAUAGGUAGGAGCCUUUGAAACGUGAGCGCUAGCUUACGUGGAGGCGCUGGUGGGAUACUACCC